AAUGAACGCUGGCGGCAGGCCUAACACAUGCAAGUCGAGCGCGCGGUGGACGGGUGAGUACUGUAUGGGGAUCUGCCCGAUGGAGGGGGUUAACUACUGGAAACGGUGGCUAAAACCGCACAGCAUCGGAUGAACCCUUAUGGGUUUAGCUAGUAGGUGGGGUAAAGGCUCACCAAGGCGACGAUCACUGGCUGGGCUGAGAGGAUGAUUAGCCACACUGGGACUGAUACACGGCCCAGACGCCUACGGUAGGCAGCAGUGGGGAAUAUUGCACAAUGGGCGAAAGCCUGAUGCAGCCAUGCCGCGUGUAUGAAGAAGGCCUUAGGGUUGUAAAAUACUUUCAGCGGGGAGGCGUUACCCGCAGAAGAAGCUCCGGCUAACUCCGUGCCAGAAGCCGCAGGAAGUC
Molecule: ribosomal RNA, 406 nt
Filed under: uncultured bacterium
Lineage: Bacteria
Description: partial 16S ribosomal RNA
Rfam family: Bacterial small subunit ribosomal RNA
Source: RNAcentral